UACGUAGGGGGCAAGCGUUGUCCGGAUUUAUUGGGCGUAAAGAGCGUGUAGGCGGCCAGGUAGGUCUGCUGUGAAAACUCGAGGCUUAACCUCGAGAUGUCGGCGGAAACCAUCUGGCUAGAGUCCGGAAGAGGAGAAUGGAAUUCCCGGUGUAGCGGUGAAAUGCGCAGAUAUCGGGAAGAACACCCGUGGCGAAGGCGGUUCUCUGGGACGGUACUGACGCUGAGACGCGAAAGCGUGGGGAGCGGACAGG
This 253-nucleotide ribosomal RNA is filed under the name uncultured bacterium. Its description in RNAcentral is "partial 16S ribosomal RNA". It matches the Rfam family "Bacterial small subunit ribosomal RNA", at positions 524 to 776 of the family's 1533-position model. The record is from RNAcentral.